Molecule: ribosomal RNA, 171 nt
Filed under: uncultured bacterium
Lineage: Bacteria
Description: partial 16S ribosomal RNA
Rfam family: Bacterial small subunit ribosomal RNA
Source: RNAcentral
CGCGUCGUUGCCCUGGGCGCAGCCUGAUGCAGCCAUGCCGCGUGUGUGAAGAAGGCCUUCGGGUUGUAAGCACUUUCAGCGGGGAGGAAGGUGUUGGGGUUAAUACCCUGAGGGGUUGACGUUACCCGCAGAAUAAGCACCGGCUAACUCCGUGCCAGCAGCCGCGGUAAU